GACGUGGGGGGCGAGCGUUAUCCGGAAUUACUGGGCGUAAAGCGCAUGUAGGUGGGAAAAUAAGUCGAAUGUGAAAUCUUUGGGCUUAACCCAGAGUCUGCGUUCGAUACUGUUUUUCUGGAGAACAAUAGGGGAAAGCGGAACUCCCGGUGUAGCGGUGAAAUGCGUAGAUAUCGGGAGGAACACCAGUGGCGAAGGCGGCUUUCUGGAUUGAUUCUGACACUGAGAUGCGAAAGCGUGGGGAG
Molecule: ribosomal RNA, 245 nt
Filed under: uncultured bacterium
Lineage: Bacteria
Description: partial 16S ribosomal RNA
Rfam family: Bacterial small subunit ribosomal RNA
Source: RNAcentral